This 99-nucleotide ribosomal RNA is filed under the name Bacillus sp. NTK034. Its description in RNAcentral is "partial 23S ribosomal RNA". It matches the Rfam family "Bacterial large subunit ribosomal RNA", at positions 2826 to 2925 of the family's 2925-position model. The record is from RNAcentral. Lineage: Bacteria; Bacillati; Bacillota; Bacilli; Caryophanales; Bacillaceae.
UAGUAAGAUCCCUGAAAGAUGAUCAGGUUGAUAGGUCAGAGGUGGAAGCGUGGCGACAUGUGGAGCUGACUGAUACUAAUCGAUCGAGGACUUAACCAA